Long non-coding RNA from Callithrix jacchus (white-tufted-ear marmoset), 1282 nucleotides. RefSeq lists it as uncharacterized. The record is from RefSeq and is a predicted model, not a curated record. Lineage: Eukaryota; Metazoa; Chordata; Mammalia; Primates; Cebidae.
GGCAAGAUGGCUUCACUUCUCCUGCAAGACAGAGAAGAUGGGAAGCUGGAAAGGUGUAGGCAUCAUCUUGGGAGCCCGCUGGGGGCUUCGUGAUACCCCUUUGACUGUUGUCCUGUUGAAGUGGAGAUCCUGAAGACUGGGACAAAGGUUCGCUGUUGGAGACCCUUUCUCUCCAUCCUCCUCCUCCAAAAGGCACCUCGCCAUCAGCAGUGAAGAUAGACCGUCUCCCUCCUCCCAUCGGAAACCUACAGGAAUGAACACAAAUCUGUUAUUUUAACACAACGUGGGCACAAAGUGGUGUUUUCAUUCUGAAUAAAGCUGUGGGAAGCUGAAGAAUAGGGCCUUUUAUUUGCAGGAGAUACUCAAAGGAAGCAAGAUUGAACCAUAGGCCAGGGAAUAAGAAUAAAGUUGUUAGAGAUUUUGCAGCCUGUGGCCUGGGAGCUCCGCAAGUUCCCUGUCAGCUUAGAGCACUUUGCAUCAGAAUGCAUAAUUGCAUCUGUUAAUUACAUUUUUUAACCUAGUCCUCCAACAUAAAAUAAAUUCAUUUUCCUCUCACUUUUCAGACUGCUGGGGAGAGGAGACUCCUUUUUUCCUUUCAACUUAAUAAACAUGAUUGACAACAAAAAAAUGUAAUUUACUUUCUAUUACGACUGUAUAGUGGAGUCUGGAACACAUACUUGCAUUUUGUGGAUGAUUAUAAUGUAUAAUGUCUAAUCAUCGGCAAAAUAAAUGUACAUUAACAAUUACAUUCAUUCCCCAAAUUCUAAGGGCCCUAUUUUAGGAUUCUUGUAAGAAGUAGCUUGAAAGUGGCACAAAGAAAUGUUUAAAAAUACCCAGAGGCUAAGGACAUUUUAAGCACCACAUCUAAAGUGGCAGAGAUGGCAUUUCAAUAGUAAAAGCCAGCCACUGAAACCAGUACUGUUGACCUCUGGGCCUUCAAUCCCUGGACCAUAUUAAGAGGUUUGAGCUGGAAAUGCCUCAGUCUUUUGCCAAUAACUUUGAACCAGGAACCUUGGAGUUUCAAAUCUGCUAUUGCCUCACCAGACAGCUGCCUCAGCCUCUGCCCAAGGUCACAGAGAUUGUCAGUGGGACAACUAGCACUGAUACCCUGGUUUACUUGGAGAGGAGGUUAGAUAGUGGGGGGGAACCUGGAGAAUCUAUCCCCUCUUCCUUCUUUCUCUCUCUUUUGUCAUCCCUAGAAAAAUGGGUGAAAUUCCACCUUCCCCAUCUGGGUGGGGGCAGAGCACAGGAAAGAUGACUUUAACUGAGGCCCAGAGACCUA